GUAUUUCUUAAUCCCUAUCUUGCUUGUUUAUACAGUCAAGCCACCUCAGGAUGGCUGUUCUCUUGCUGUGUGUAUGUCCCCUGCUGGACCCGUCCCUGCUUUACCUAUAUACUACUCACAUGACCUGCUUGCCCUGAUCCAGCUAGUGAUCGUUCUCAUCCUUAGGCCAGAAGAGCUCCACUUGCUAGUUUAUUAAAGGGAAACCUCUGCCCUCUUGAAGCUCCAUAAAUUAAGGGACCUUGAGAGACCUGCUGCUCCACCUUCUGGUUUCCCUGGUAACUAAUAGGCCAACCAGACAUCAAUUCACUAUAUAAAAAGUAGACUCCUCCUCCACUGAGUAGCAAAGAUGGCUGCUAUAGCUUGUUGUGUGCUCGCCGGCCUGCCCGCCAGCUUACACACAUUGUGGAGUGUCACUCUAGGAAAUUUUGCUUCAGACAUGUAUGAGCAUCCCAGGAGCAAUCACUGCAGUGCUUACACCACAUUAAUCCAAAAAUAACAAGUCACCCCAACCUGAAUUCAACUGUUUUAGCCCUUGCUGCAGGAUCUAUCCCCAGAAACACACAUGAAAAAACCCUGGGGCUGACAGAACCUGGAGGAUUGAACCUAUAGAAUUUUUCCUCUACAUUUUCUGCAAACUGACAACUGGAUCCAGAUGCUUGAUCAGCCUCCGAUUUGAUUCCCUUGCCAAGGCCAUAGGAGUGAUGUGUUCUUUCAUCAGGAGCUAGAAUAAAUUUAUAAGAAGAUGUCUUCUCUAGUCUACUAUUUGGUUACUCAGUUAAUAGGAAAGUAAAGACAAAUGCUUCACUCUUUUAUGUAACCAGUUUAUACUGUAUCAUCCUGAGGUUGCCAAUAACUAAUUUUUCUGCAAUUGUAUGAAUUCAUGGAUUUAAGCACAUUGCAAUUCUUACCCUUAUUGAAGCCUUCUUUGACAUGACCCAAAUAAAUCUCUGAUGUUAUGUUAUUUUAU
Long non-coding RNA from Bubalus bubalis (water buffalo), 967 nucleotides. RefSeq lists it as uncharacterized. The record is from RefSeq and is a predicted model, not a curated record. The transcript has 4 exons. Lineage: Eukaryota; Metazoa; Chordata; Mammalia; Artiodactyla; Bovidae.